UUUGGCGCCUUCCUCUUUUCUGGUCUCGUUGGGUGCUGGUCCCCACCUCGCCCCACCUGCAGUCGGCACGCAUCCCAGGGACCCAUGUGCCACUCAGUUGAAGCGGCACAGCUGCAGGGAAAGGGCGCCCAGACUGCUCCCAUUUCAGAGGACUUCUAAAAACCUACACCCACUUGGGAGAAAGCUCUAUUGAACGCCAUGGGACUUACUUCUGAGAAGCCAUGUUUAGGAUUGUGCUGAAAGAGGCUUUAAUUGUAACUUGGAAAUUUGCUUCUUCGGCUGCUUUAAUUAAUGCACCCUUUACCAUCCCUUCAAAAGUGACACUCGCAAUAUGAAUUCCGGUUUCUCCAGCCCAACCCUCACAGCAGCCUUUGAUGUCUCGUGUAGAUUUAAUAAAGCUCUCAGUAUUGUGUACAAUUGGUUGCUGAACCAUCAAGGGAUCUGAACUUACCCAGCACCUGAUGAUAAUGAUUUUGAGAACAAAUAUUGAGGCUGUUUUGACUAGGGCCACCUUACUGAACAGAUGAAGGAAGAAUAUGACGCUGAAGAAAAAAAUCUAGAAAAGUUUACAGCAAUUUUCAACUGGUCCAUAACAGAAAAAGUCUGAGAACUGAUCUCCAAACCAACUUUCUCCUCCAUGGAGGAGAACCCAAAAGAGAAGAAAAGGUGCAGGUGUGGGAAGUGUCUUGAUGAGCACUUACACUUCAAAAUUUCUCCCUACACCACUGCCCCUGGCUCAGUAGUGCUACCCCUCUGAAAACACUGGAAGUGUAUAAUGCAAUGAUGUGGGCCUCUGACACAAGAGGAUGAGGGUUUUUGUCAUCAGUUUGGAUCACUGGCAAAAAUACAGAUUUCAGAGCUAAAAGUCCUAAUAUUUGACAUGGCAAAAACUGUUAUGUCUGGGUAAGCCAGGAAAAGCAUGUGGACCUGGGAGAAUAUGACAGCUUUGCAUAAGGUAAAGAAUUUUAGGUUCCCCAUUGCCAAGUGAGAAUAUGAGCUAUUUACAAGAUUAUGAAAUUGUCCAAGAAUGACUGUGAAAAGGAAACUUUUGUGAUUUCCUUGAACUGGACCUGACUAUAAAAAUGCUGUUUUGAGUAGAAAAGGUGCUAGUUGAGUAUGUGUAGGGUGGGGGGAGCCCAGAAUGUGGGAAAUUGAAUUUUUAAAAUGUUUUCCUCCUUUCAGCACUAGUUCUGUAGAACAAAAGACAGAACAAACUCAUAAAUAUGUAAAUAACUUUACAGAAAAAACAGCAGUAGCAGGAAUGUGGGUGAAACUGAGAAACGCAUAGCUAAUUUUGGGGGCUUGUGAGCAAACUCACGAAACCAGCUUAUUAAUUCCAUGAGCAGAUGUUAAAUGAAAGAGAGAUCUUAGAAACAACAGAAGCUAAACCAUCCAAUGCAGGAAGUCUUCUCCUGUGAAGACUUCUUCCACUUGCUUUGUUACCAGGAUUGAUCAUAAAACCUUAACAUUUUGUCCUUUCCAGGCUUAAUAGCGGUAACUGGUCAAAGCUGGACCAUUUCACAGAGGGAUUGUAGUUUAACUAAACCCACCUGCUGGG
This is a long non-coding RNA of Varanus komodoensis (Komodo dragon), 1558 nucleotides long. RefSeq lists it as uncharacterized. The transcript has 3 exons. Lineage: Eukaryota; Metazoa; Chordata; Lepidosauria; Squamata; Varanidae. The record is from RefSeq and is a predicted model, not a curated record.